This 422-nucleotide ribosomal RNA is filed under the name uncultured Empedobacter sp. RNAcentral describes it as "bacterial SSU rRNA". It matches the Rfam family "Bacterial small subunit ribosomal RNA", at positions 355 to 774 of the family's 1533-position model. Lineage: Bacteria; Pseudomonadati; Bacteroidota; Flavobacteriia; Flavobacteriales; Weeksellaceae. The record is from RNAcentral.
UGAGGAAUAUUGGACAAUGGGUGGAAGCCUGAUCCAGCCAUCCCGCGUGUAGGACGACUGCCUUAUGGGUUGUAAACUACUUUUAUCUGGGGAUAAACCUACUCACGUGUGAGUAGCUGAAGGUACCAGAAGAAUAAGCACCGGCUAACUCCGUGCCAGCAGCCGCGGUAAUACGGAGGGUGCAAGCGUUAUCCGGAUUUAUUGGGUUUAAAGGGUCCGUAGGCGGAUUAAUCAGUCAGUGGUGAAAGCCCGCAGCUUAACUGUGGAACUGCCAUUGAUACUGUUAGUCUUGAGUGAUGUUGAAGUGGCUGGAAUGUGUAGUGUAGCGGUGAAAUGCUUAGAUAUUACGCAGAACACCAAUUGCGAAGGCAGGUCGCUAAGUAUCAACUGACGCUGAUGGACGAAAGCGUGGGGAGCGAACA